This 433-nucleotide ribosomal RNA is filed under the name uncultured bacterium. Its description in RNAcentral is "partial 16S ribosomal RNA". It matches the Rfam family "Bacterial small subunit ribosomal RNA", at positions 29 to 507 of the family's 1533-position model. The record is from RNAcentral.
AACGAACGCUGGCGGCAUGCCUAACACAUGCAAGUCGAACGAGACCUUCGGGUCUAGUGGCGCACGGGUGCGUAACGCGUGGGAACCUGCCCUUAGGUUCGGAAUAACUCCCCGAAAGGGGUGCUAAUACCGGAUAAUGUCUUCGGACCAAAGAUUUAUCGCCUUUGGAUGGGCCCGCGUUGGAUUAGCGAGUUGGUAGGGUAAAAGCCUACCAAGGCGACGAUCCAUAGCUGGUCUGAGAGGAUGAUCAGCCACACUGGGACUGAGACACGGCCCAGACUCCUACGGGAGGCAGCAGUGGGGAAUAUUGGACAAUGGGCGAAAGCCUGAUCCAGCAAUGCCGCGUGAGUGAUGAAGGCCUUAGGGUUGUAAAGCUCUUUUACCCGGGAUGAUAAUGACAGUACCGGGAGAAUAAGCGCCGGCUAACUCCGUG